Molecule: long non-coding RNA, 7352 nt
Organism: Orcinus orca (killer whale)
Lineage: Eukaryota; Metazoa; Chordata; Mammalia; Artiodactyla; Delphinidae
Exons: 2
Source: RefSeq, a predicted model, not a curated record
CCACUUCAUUUAGUUGUUUUUCUGGGGUUUUAUCUUGUUCCUUCAUCUGGUACAUAGCCCUCUGCCUUUUCAUCUUGUCUAUCUUUCUGUGAAUGUGGUGUUUGUUCCACAGGCUGCAGGAUUGUAGUUCUUCUUGCUUCUGCUGUCUGUCCUCUGGUGGAUGAGGCUAUCUAAGAGGCUUGUGCAAGUUUCCUGAUAGGAGGAGCUUGUUGUGGGUAGAGAUGGCUGUUGCUCUAGUUGGCAGAACUCAGUAAAAUCUUAAUCUGCUUGUCUGCUGAUGGGUGGGGCUGUGUUCUCUCCCUGUUGGUUUUUGGCCCCAGGUGACCCAACACUGGAUCCUACCCAAUCUCUUUGGUGCGGUCAAUAGUGGACUCUGGGAGGGCUCAUGCCAAGGAGUUCUUCCCAGAACUUCUCCUGCCAGUGUCCUUGUCCUCACAGUGAGACACAGUCACCCCCCGCCUCUGCAGGAGACCCUCCAACACUAGCAGAAUUCUACAGUGACAUCCUGACAGAAUUCUACAGGACCUCAGGCACAUUUCCAACCCAUUGCUGCCUGUGUGUCUUUGAGUACUGCCAACCCUUAGAAAGCAGUGAACUGGUGGAACUACACGCUAGUGGGUGGAAGAGCCCCAGUCUGGCAAUCGGGAAACAAAUGACUGUAGCAAGCCCACCCUAAGAGGCUCACGCAGAUGCCUUCUAGCUGUCAGCAGAGGGGUACAAUUUAUACCCCUUGCAGUCAGUCACAAGAAAAGAAGCAGCCCCAUUUUCCCAACCUAUAUAAAAGCAACAGCCUGAUUCACGAUACAAAGGGGAAAGACAUCUAUGGAUAAACAACAACAAUAAGAAAUAGAAAUUAUUUAAGGCAGAACAACAGAAUGUUUACUUAAGAAGAAAAAUCAAUUUGGAAAAACAAAAACUGGUAGCUUCCACUGAAAUAGAACCAAUAGAAAAGAUGAACAAAAUCUUUGGGCCAAAAGUAAUAAGGGACCUCAAGGAGAUAAAAUUAGAGCCCCCAAAAUACUUUUUAGAAUAAAUGAAUAUGGUUUCUGCUUUUUAAAAAAGUUGGAUUUAAAAAAUGAAAAAUAAGAGAAUGAUAAAUGCCAGUUGGCUAUUUAGGGUUCUCAAGGAUUAAGAGAAAGUGAUAUGCCAUAACAAAAACUUAACGCCCACAGAGCUGGAAUUUAUGAAUGAGAGAACAUGAGACAUGCAGAACAGAUUCAGGAGAUCUAAUGAGAGUGUUAUGAGAGUGUCCAGAAAGGCAGUGGAGGACAGAUAGAAAAUGGAUCAUUAGACAAAAAAUUUGUUUUAAAGGAAGCUACCAAAAAAGAAGGAAGCUACCCUGAAUUGUACAGUAUUCAGAUCAAAAGAAUUCACCAUGCCGUAGGCAGUACUGAUGAAUACACACACACACACACACACACACACACACACACACACAUCUAGACAUAUCAUAGCAACAUUUCUGAAAUGCAAGGAGAAAAAGAAAAUUUUACAGCUCUCAGAGAGAAAGUUACAAAAGAAAGAGAGAAGACACACUUUCCAAAUCAUCGUUCACUAGAGUUAAGUCUAUGUUGACGAUGGCAGAAUGAUUGGAAUUUUGUAAAAUGUAUUUUAAAAGAAUUGUUGAAAUAAAAAGACAUAAUUUAAGAGACAGCCUCAUAAUAGCAUGAUACUAAAAAUUCUAAAUUGUUUUAACUAAGGAUUUGGAGCAAGGGUGGAAGGAAGUGGGAAACUAAAUAUUUUCUAACGGUUUAAUUUCUACAUGAAGUGUGAAGACACAGCAAGUGAAACAUCUUGGGAAGAGAAUAUUCAACACUCCUAAAAUAUUCUAAAACGCUAAUUUUGAUUGGUAAAGACUGGAAGGGAAUCAAAUCAGAAGCUAAUUCUAAAUUAAUAAGGGUAAAGGGGAACAGAGAAACUUCCCCAAGACAAAAAAAGUGAAGUAAGAUAAAGAGAAGAAAAAAGUAAUGGAAAAGAAGAUAAAGUAAAAUUUAAGGAAUAAAACCACUGUUAUGUUACCAGAAUAAAUGUGCAGAAACACUGAAAAUAAAUGAACCGUUUAACUUAAGAAAAUAAAAGGAAAAAAUAAAUCAAAAUGGAAUUAAUCAUAAUAAAUAGUAUAUGUAGUGAAAAUAAUUAAAAUAGAAUAGAAGGGAAAUAUUGAAAGAAUAAUAAAAGCAAAAUCUAGGUUUUUUUAUGACUACUUAAAUAGAUAAGCAAACUGAAUAAGGAAAUAAGAAAUCUUAGGAGAGUAAUAUUAAGGAAUAUACAUGUGGAUAAGGUAUUACAAUUGCUUAGAUAAGCAAUUAAAAGUAUUAAAGAUAAUAUAACACACAACUUCCUAGCAACAUAUUUAGACAGCUAGAACAGUGCUGCCUAAUAGAAUUUCUGCAAUUAUGGAAACAUUCUCUCUUUGCAUGAUCCCCAUGGUAGCCUUUACCCUUAUGUGGUUGUGGAGCACUUGAAAUGUGGCUAAUAAGACUGGAGAACUAAACUUUUAAAAUUUAUUCAAUUUCAAUUAAUUUACAUUUCAAUAGUCACAUACAAUUAGUGGCUACCACAUGGGGCAGCACAGAGGAAAUGAUGUUCACCUCCUGAAUUUGACACAAGAAGAAAAUCUGAGUAGAUCAAUAUCAUACAAAAGAUCAAACAAUUGAAUAUCUGCUAAUUUAAAAGGCAAGAAGCCUAGACUGAACAGCUGAGUUCUUUCUAACCUUUAAAGAUCAGAUCAUUCCUAUGUUAUUUAAACCAUUUCAGGUAGUUUAAAAAUAAAUGGAAAUUUCUCUAAUUCAUUUUAUAAAGUUGGAAAAUCUUGAUCCCAAAUUCGACAAAAAUAAUACAAAAAACAAAACCAUAGGCCAAUUUCACUAAAGAAUAACAAAACAAAAUUCUAAAUAUUAGCAAAUCAAAGCUAGUAGCAUAUUUAAUGUUUCAUAACUAAGUUUUAUACUAAAAUUAUUGGUGUAGUUCAACAAGUGAAAAUCUGUCAACAUAAUUAAUUGCACCAUUAAGUUAAAAAGGAAAAAAACAUUCUUAUAACAACAGCUGCUGUAAAAGAAUAUGAUAAAAUGCAAACUCAUUCCUAAAACUACCUUAAUUUAAAAAACUUACUUAAACAUGUUAAAGGUUACCCAAAAUCAAUAGCAAAUUCUAUAAAUGGUGAAGUACUGUAACCGUUUCCAGUAAAUCAUAAAAAAGAAAAAUAUUAUCUUUACUGUUAGUUCAAAAUUAUUUUAGACUUCCUAGACAAAGCUUCAAAACAAUAAACUUAAAUACUAUAAAUUUUCAAGAAUACGCUGAUUUAUCUUUAUUUGUAAAUGAGUGAAUGCCUUAAAUGGUUUUCUGAAUUUAAAUAUUACAAUAAAUUUCAGGAAAAAAUUUAUGUAAACUUAGCAUGUGAGAGAUCUCUCAAGAAGUCAGGGACUCUGGAAUACUCAAAAUAAUGAAAGAAUAAAUCUGACCACCAAAAUCAAAAUAUUUCACAUGUCAGAAAAUAACAUAAAGUUAAAUACUAAUGAUUUAGAAAAAAAAUUUGUGACUAUGAGAAAGUGUAUUUAUUUAAUUUCUUACCAGUGUUAUAAAAGAAAAAGAGAAAUAAUUCAAUAAUUUAAAUAAUUUACCAAACUAUUUAUGAGAGAGGAAUUAAAACGGAAAAUGAGCAAAUAAAAGAUGGUUAAUCGUAUAAGUGGUCAGAAAUAUGUAAAUUAUGACUAUAGUGAGAUACCAUUUUAUUCACAUUAAAUUGGCCUACAGUUUCAAGAAAUGGUAUCAUCCAAUGUUGGUAGAAUGUUGAUUGGUACAGUCUUUGGGAAUUAAUCUUGCAAAAUUUAUUAAAAUUAAACGUACUAUGACUUAUGUUCCAAGAAGGUCACUUUGGAAUUUAUUCCACAGAAGUAAAUGUAUAUGUACAGGAGCUGCAUUGCAGCACUGGUUUUAGUAAUAUAGAGCUAGUAUGACACCCAUGGAUGGAAGAACUGUGAAAUAUGGUGUGACUAUUUAAAAGGUGCAGAUGUAAGCUAUCAUUAUAUAUAGAAUAGAUAAACAAGGUCCCACCAUAUAGCACCCAGAACCAUAUUCAAUAUCCUAUGAUAAACCAUAGUGGAAAAGAAUAUUUUUUAAAGGAUGUAUAUAUAUGUAUAACUGAAUCACUUUGCUGUACAGCAGAAAUUAACACAACAUUGUAAAUCAACUAUACUUUGAUAAAAUAAUAAAUGAAUAAAUAAAUAAAUAAAGGGAUGAGUUUGAGGUGUCUCUGUUGUCCUGAUGGGAUGUGUAUGUUGUACUGUUCAAUACAAAAAUCAAAUUAUAAAUUAAAGUGUAUAAUAUGAUUCAGUUUUUAUAUAAAAUAAAUCCUACAUAUGUGUUUAUAUGUUUCUGGGAACAUGAAUAAAAUUGUGGGAAGACACACCUAUUAGGCAGUGUGUUUGUUGCUGUUUGAUAUUUUCCCCUUUUUAAACUUUCUUUUAUAUUAUAUUUUUUUUAUUUUAAAGAGUAAAACAAUCUUACUGUAGCAAAUGAAGCUGUGUAGUACAAAGAUAUACAAAGGAAAGCUAAUUAUUGCCUGCAUCCCACCUCUCUGUUCCCUUUCUCCAAUGCUACUCUUUGUGAUAACAAAUGCCAACAAGCCUAAGGUGCAUCCUACCUCACCUUUAUCUUUGCUUAAACAAAUAUGAAUAUAUACAAGAAUGCACGUACAUAAUGGUUUGCUUCUGUGUAAGGAAAUAGAAUCAUACUGCACACAUUACUUGGUGACUUGCUAUUUUCACUAGGCAAUCUAUCGGGAAUAUUCCUGAUAAACAAGAGAAAUAUAAGUGUGGGUGUGUGCAUGUGUGGGGUGUAUGUCUUUAUUCCCUCUCUGAGCACUUUCACACACACAAUUUUAGUUGAGUGGAUACGUCACAAAUGUUGGGAGAAUUUUUUUUUCUUUUUUGGUAUCAGUUUAGAUUGAUUUUGUGUUUUGUUUUUGUUUUUUCACUGGCCACUCUUCUUUCCCUGUCUUUCAUAGGCCAGGCUGUUAAUACGAGAUAACUCAGAUGAGUAGAAAUUGAAGAAAAAAGAGAAAAAGAUGUUUACUUUUUAAUAAAUCUUGCUUUAGCUUCCUCUUUAAAAUGAGCAGUCAUCAUAGAUAACUAAUAAGAACCUGCUAUAUAGCACAGGGAACUCUACUCAGUACUCUGUAAUGGCCUAUAUGGGAAAAUAAUCUAAAAAAAAAAGAAGAAUGUGUAUAUGUAUAACUGAUUCACUUUGCUGUACACCUGAAACUAAUACAGCAUUGUAAAUCAACUGUAUGCCAAUAAAAAUUAAAUAAAUAAAUAAGUAAAUAAAAUGAACAAUUAUUGGUUUUGUAGUUUAGAUAAUCUAGCAGGGAAAAACUAAAGGAACAAUGAAUUUAUGCUGUGUACUAAUAUGUUCCGAUUUGCAUUCCUUUUAUUUCUAUCAUAUUUUUAUCAUAUGGUACUCCAUAUAUAUAAAGAGUAAUUUAGUAUUUAUAAUGUAUGUGGAAAUCCACCUAAAGAAAUAUAACAUGUUAAUCAGAAAUUGGGGAGCAGAGGGUGCUCAAUAAAAUAUUUAUUAACCCUGAAAAUUAUGAGGAGUCAUUUGGCAAGAACAACACAUAGCACUAGCAUGUAGAUGUAUAGUCUAUUUACUGAGACAGAUUAAUUCAUUGAAUUAAUAUAUCUACCUGUAAGUCAAUUCUGUGAGAAAAACAUAGUGUAAACUGUUUUCACCAUAAGCGAAAGGAUGGUUUAGAACACAAAAUACCAGCCUUGACAUAGUAUCUUUAGCUUUAGCUGUCUACACUUUGCAUACUUUGAGACUAAUAUAAUCCUAUUCCCUUUGGAAAAGCUCUUUACCAGCUGUCAUCAUUAAGAAGCUGUAGUGCGUAGUGUGUAGUGGGUAAGAGCAUGGGCUUUGGACCCAGACUUUCUGGAUUUGCAUCCUGGAUCCACCUCUCCUUAUCUGUGUGAUCUCUGUGCUCUAUUCCUUAUCUGUACAGCAGGCUUAAGGAUAGCAUUUACCUCCGAGGGUAAUGGGGAGGAUCCAAUAAAUUAAUGAUAUGUAAAGCUUUAGAACAGUGCUCGGCACCUACUUAGUGAUAAAUGUUUGCAUUAUUUUUGUUGUGUUGUUGUUAAGAUGUGGUUGGCCAUUAUGCAAUGGGCCAGUACCUAAGAAACAGUCAACCCAGCACUCUUCCCAGGAGACCCCUUGCCAACUCAAGUCAGGACAUUCACAAAGUGAACUCUCCUGGCUGAAGCAUCAAUCUAAGGCCAAGGUGAAUGGUAAAAGAUUCUGAGAAAGGCAAGAGGGUGAUAUUGAAACAUGAAGUUAGGUGAAAUUUUAAAAAUCUGAAAUCUAAAAUAUUUAGAAAGUUAAACUGUCAGCCAUGACUCUUACAGCUCCCAGUAUGUCUGCCUCCAGAAAUGAUUUCCCCAACCUUGUUCCUCAUCCUAAUUUCCCGCUUCUCAUCGUCCAUGCAUUAAAAUUUUAAUUAAGUUAAAAUUGUUUCUAAAAUAAGAGUUAAUAUCAUCUUAGCCAGAGACAAAAAUAACCUACUAUGGAUAGAAUGUAAGAGCUUAAUUUAAGAUACCUUUGUCAUACCUAUUUUGGAGCUACUCAACUGUUUGCCGUAUGAUUUUUAUUUGUUUAUUAUCAUGGUUUGUUUUUUGGGAGGUGGUUAUAUUUCAGAUAGUUGAGUAGUUUUAUGGAUCUCCUGGUAAGUGAAACACAGCUAAAAAACCAUUUUUCCUGGCAGCCAACACCCCCUUCCAACUUGCUUCACUCUGAACAUAAAAUGGUCUUUCUCCCAAACCUUUUAGUCACCAAGUCUCAAUCUUUAAAUUAUCUCUUUCAUUGCAUCUUCUCCAUUUCUAUCACCACUGUUGUUACUUCAAAACAGGAUUGCCAUCAAUGUCUCCUAUCUUGAUUAUCUGAUUCCUCACCAAUGCAUCCUAUAUCGACAUGAACAAGGGACUUCCUUCUCUCAAUAUAAUCUGUCUUCUCUUUUAAAUUCUGAAAUGCUCAAAGUCUGGGACCAUGUUACAUUCAUGUCUGUAUUUCCAGUUUUUAACCAUGUGCCCAAUACACAGCAACUGAGGGGGUGGAAGGAGAUCUUGAAUUUAAAUUUUACUUACAGGGCUAAGAGUGCUGCCAUUAAAUUAAACACUUUUACUUUACAAAGACUAGCUUACAAGCUCUUUUGGGUAUGAUGAGCUUGUUUAGGAAUCAGGCUUUCUUUGUUCUUUGUCUAUUCAACCUUCUCAAAUGUCUACUGCAUAUGCCAAGAGGAAAAUCUAAAUCUCUGCAUGGUCAUGAGUGAGUACUUGAAAACCUGUUUCCCCAACUGUUAGAGA